This 85-nucleotide transfer RNA is filed under the name Candidatus Heimdallarchaeota archaeon. RNAcentral's name for it is "tRNA-Ser". It matches the Rfam family "tRNA". From Rfam's summary of the family: Transfer RNA (tRNA) molecules are approximately 80 nucleotides in length. Their secondary structure includes four short double-helical elements and three loops (D, anti-codon, and T loops). The record is from RNAcentral. Lineage: Archaea; Promethearchaeati; Candidatus Heimdallarchaeota.
GCAGAGGUAGCCUAGCGGUACGGCGAUAGCCUGGAGAGCUAUUGUGCGUAAGCACUCGCGAGUUCGAAUCUCGCCCUCUGCGCCA